Molecule: ribosomal RNA, 482 nt
Filed under: uncultured bacterium
Lineage: Bacteria
Description: partial 16S ribosomal RNA
Rfam family: Bacterial small subunit ribosomal RNA
Source: RNAcentral
AUUGAACGCUGGCGGCAUGCCUUACACAUGCAAGUCGAACGGUAACAGGUCUUCGGAUGCUGACGAGUGGCGAACGGGUGCGUAAUACAUCGGAACGUGCCCGAUCGUGGGGGAUAACGAAGCGAAAGCUUUGCUAAUACCGCAUACGAUCUACGGAUGAAAGCAGGGGACCGCAAGGCCUUGCGCGAACGGAGCGGCCGAUGGCAGAUUAGGUAGUUGGUGGGAUAAAAGCUUACCAAGCCGACGAUCUGUAGCUGGUCUGAGAGGACGACCAGCCACACUGGGACUGAGACACGGCCCAGACUCCUACGGGAGGCAGCAGUGGGGAAUUUUGGACAAUGGGCGAAAGCCUGAUCCAGCCAUGCCGCGUGCAGGAUGAAGGCCUUCGGGUUGUAAACUGCUUUUGUACGGAACGAAAAGACUCUGGUUAAUACCUGGGGUCCAUGACGGUACCGUAAGAAUAAGCACCGGCUAACUACGUG